RNAcentral lists this ribosomal RNA (440 nucleotides) under uncultured bacterium. RNAcentral describes it as "partial 16S ribosomal RNA". It matches the Rfam family "Bacterial small subunit ribosomal RNA", at positions 338 to 795 of the family's 1533-position model. The record is from RNAcentral.
CCUACGGGGUGCAGCAGUGGGGGAUAUUGCACAAUGGGGGGAACCCUGAUGCAGCGACGCCGCGUGGGUGAAGAAGCGCCUCGGCGCGUAAAGCCCUGUCAUCUGGGAAGAAUAUGACGGUAUCUGAAGAAGAAGCCCCGGCUAACUACGUGCCGGCAGCCGCGGUAAUACGUAGGGGGCAAGCGUGAUCGGGAUUUACUGGGUGCAAAGGGGGCGCAGACGGGGGUGCAAGCCAGGAGUGAAAGCUCCGGGCCGAACCCCGGGACUGCUCUUGGAACUGCGUGGCUGGAGUGCAGGAGGGGAAGGCGGAAUUCCUGGUGUAGCGGUGGAAUGCGUAGAUAUCAGGAGGAACACCAGUGGCGAAGGCGACCUGCUGGACUGCAACUGACGUUGAGGCCCGAAAGCGUGGGGAGCAAACAGGAUUAGAUACCCGAGUAGUC